CAGCAGCCGCGGUAAUACGGAAGGUCCGGGCGUUAUCCGGAUUUAUUGGGUUUAAAGGGAGCGUAGGCAGUUUUUUAAGCGUGCUGUGAAAUGUACCGGCUCAACCGGUGAUGUGCAGCGCGAACUGGGAAUCUUGAGUACGCAGUAAGCAGGCGGAAUUCGUGGUGUAGCGGUGAAAUGCUUAGAUAUCACGAAGAACUCCGAUUGCGUAGGCAGCUUGCUGUAGCGUAACUGACGCUGAAGCUCGAAAGUGCGGGUAUCGAACAGGAUUAGAUACCCUGGUAGUCCGCACGGUAAACGAUGGAUGCCCGCUGUCGGCCUUUUUUGGUCGGUGGCCAAGCGAAAGCGUUAAGCAUCCCACCUGGGGAGUACGCCGGCAACGGUGAAACUCAAAGGAAUUGACGGGGGCCCGCACAAGCGGAGGAACAUGUGGUUUAAUUCGAUGAUACGCGAGGAACCUUACCCGGGCUUGAACUGCCAUUGACUUGAAUAGAGAUAUUCAUUCCCUUCGGGGCAUUGGUGGAGGUGCUGCAUGGUUGUCGUCAGCUCGUGCCGUGAGGUGUCGGCUUAAGUGCCAUAACGAGCGCAACCCCUUUUUUCAGUUGCCAUCGGUUAAAGCCGGGCACUCUGUGAAUACUGCCGCCGUAAGGUGUGAGGAAGGUGGGGAUGACGUCAAAUCAGCACGGCCCUUACGUCCGGGGCUACACACGUGUUACAAUGGCGCGUACAGCGAGUCGGCCGUAUGUAAAUGCGGUCCAAUCCUUAAAACGCGCCUCAGUUCGGACUGGGGUCUGCAACCCGACCCCACGAAGCUGGAUUCGCUAGUAAUCGCGCAUCAGCCAUGGCGCGGUGAAUACGUUCCCGGGCCUUGUACACACCGCCCGUCAAGCCAUGAAAGCCGGGGGUGCCUGAAGUCCGUGACCGCAAGGUCGGCCUAAGGCAAUACUGGUAAUUGGGGCUAAGUCGUAACAAGGUAGCCGU
Molecule: ribosomal RNA, 981 nt
Filed under: uncultured Prevotella sp.
Lineage: Bacteria; Pseudomonadati; Bacteroidota; Bacteroidia; Bacteroidales; Prevotellaceae
Description: bacterial SSU rRNA
Rfam family: Bacterial small subunit ribosomal RNA
Source: RNAcentral